This 571-nucleotide long non-coding RNA is filed under the name Pan troglodytes (chimpanzee). RNAcentral describes it as "long non-coding RNA NONPTRT002959". The record is from RNAcentral. Lineage: Eukaryota; Metazoa; Chordata; Mammalia; Primates; Hominidae.
GGGGAUUACUAAUGAGAGAAAGCGGAAGCUGGAACAGCAGUUACAGAGCAUCAUGGUUCUCAACCGUCAGUUUGAGCAUGUGCAGAAUUUCAUCAACUGGGCUGUCUGCAGCAAAACCAGUGUCCCUUUUCUUUUCAGCAAAGAGCUGAUUGUGUUUCAGAUGCAGCGAUUGCUGGAGACAAGUUGUAACACAGAUCCUGGCUCCCCUUGGAGUAUCAGAUUCACCUGGGAGCCUAACUUCUGGACCAAGCAGCUAGCUUCUCUUGGCUGCAUAACUACUGAAGGUGGACAAAUGUCCAGGGCAGAUGCUCCUGCUUAUGGAGGCUUACAGGGGUCAUCACCCUUUUAUCAAAGCCACCAGUCUCCAGUGGCUCAGCAAGAGGCUCUUAGCCACCCCUCACACAAGUUCCAGUCUCCAGCAGUGUGCUCCUCAUCUGUGUGCUGCUCCCACUGCUCCCCAGUCUCGCCUUCCCUCAAAGGCCAGGUCCCCCCACCCAGCAUACACCCAGCCCACAGCUUCAGGCAGCCCUCUGAGAUGGUGCCCCAGCAGCUGGGGUCUCUGCAGUGCUCU